GGUGGUUCUCAGGUGAUGCAUCCAGGAAUCGGGCUCCCUCCUUUCUGGUUCCAGGCGCGUCACCAGAGAACUGCU
Molecule: non-coding RNA, 75 nt
Organism: Myotis lucifugus (little brown bat)
Lineage: Eukaryota; Metazoa; Chordata; Mammalia; Chiroptera; Vespertilionidae
Source: Rfam